This 301-nucleotide ribosomal RNA is filed under the name uncultured bacterium. RNAcentral's name for it is "partial 16S ribosomal RNA". It matches the Rfam family "Bacterial small subunit ribosomal RNA", at positions 509 to 809 of the family's 1533-position model. The record is from RNAcentral.
CAGUCGCCGCGGUAAUACGUAGGGUGCAAGCGUUAAUCGGAAUUACUGGGCGUAAAGCGUGCGCAGGCGGUUAUAUAAUACAGAUGUGAAAUCCCCGGGCUCAACCUGGGAACUGCAUUUGUGACUGUAUAGCUAGAGUACGGCAGAGGGGGAUGGAAUUCCGCGUGUAGCAGUGAAAUGCGUAGAUAUGCGGAGGAACACCGAUGGCGAAGGCAAUCCCCUGGGCCUGUACUGACGCUCAUGCACGAAAGCGUGGGGAGCAAACAGGAUUAGAUACCCCUGUAGUCCCUGUCUCUUAUAA